This 632-nucleotide ribosomal RNA is filed under the name Nebria lyelli. Its description in RNAcentral is "partial large subunit ribosomal RNA". It matches the Rfam family "Bacterial large subunit ribosomal RNA", at positions 1829 to 2736 of the family's 2925-position model. The record is from RNAcentral. Lineage: Eukaryota; Metazoa; Arthropoda; Insecta; Coleoptera; Carabidae.
GUCCUUUAGAUAUUAAUUUAAGGUCUAACCUGCCCACUGAAAUAUUUUAAAUGGCCGCAGUAAUUUGACUGUGCAAAGGUAGCAUAAUCAUUAGUUUUUUAAUUAAAAGCUUGUAUGAAAGGUUGGACGAAGUAAAAUCUGUCUCUAAUUAAAUUAGUUUAGAAUUUAACUUUUAAGUUAAAAGGCUUAAAUUUAACUAAAAGACGAGAAGACCCUAUAGAUCUUUAUAUUUUUAUUAUUAAAUUUAAUUAAGAAUUUUUAAAAUUUUAUUAAUUUAAAUAUUUUAUUGGGGUAAUAUAAAGAUUAAAAUAAUUCUUUUUUUUUAUUAACAUUAAUUUAUGAUUUUAUGAUCCAAUUAUAUUGAUUUUAAGAUUAAGUUACCUUAGGGAUAACAGCGUAAUUUUUUUAGAGAGUUCUUAUCGAUAAAAAAGUUUGCGACCUCGAUGUUGGAUUAAAGAUUAUUUUAGGUGCAGAAGUUUAAAAAUUUUGGUCUGUUCGACCAUUAAAUCUUUACAUGAUCUGAGUUCAGACCGGUGUAAGCCAGGUCGGUUUCUAUCUUUAGUGAAUUAAAAUAUUUCAGUACGAAAGGACCAAUUAUUUAAUAUAAAUAUUUAUAUUUUGAUUAUUAUUAA